UACGGAGGGUCCGAGCGUUAAUCGGAAUUACUGGGCGUAAAGCGUGCGCAGGCGGUUUGUUAAGCCAGAUGUGAAAUCCCCCGGGCUCAACCUGGGAAUUGCAUUUGGAACUGGCGAACUAGAGUCUUGUAGAGGGGGUAGGAAUUCCAGGUGUAGCGGUGAAAUAGCGUAGAUAUCUGGAGGAAUACCGGUGGCGAAGGCGGCCCCCCUCGGACAAAGAACUGACGCUCAUGCACGAAAGCGUGGGGAGCAAACAGGAUUAGAUACCCGCGUAGU
This 276-nucleotide ribosomal RNA is filed under the name uncultured bacterium. RNAcentral describes it as "partial 16S ribosomal RNA". It matches the Rfam family "Bacterial small subunit ribosomal RNA", at positions 524 to 794 of the family's 1533-position model. The record is from RNAcentral.